This is a non-coding RNA of Pogona vitticeps (central bearded dragon), 902 nucleotides long. The record is from RefSeq and is a predicted model, not a curated record. NCBI's taxonomy places the organism in Eukaryota, Metazoa, Chordata, Lepidosauria, Squamata, Agamidae.
GGCCUCAGAGCGCCGCCCGCUCGUCUGGGCCGAGCGAUCUGGCGGCCAGGAAAGGCCCGGAUCGGCCUCGGGAGCUAACAAAAACAGGGCUUCUUUCCCGGGAGAUCCUCGGGCUGGCCCAUCUUCCUCUCUUGAAGGUUAUGGUAUAAGCAGAGGCCGUGCGUGUGUCUACUCGAAAUAAAUCCCCCUAAUUUGAAAUGGGUCUUACUCCCGAAGUAGGCAUGAAUAACUGCAGGGAGAGCCUACAAACCGCUUGGUUCAGGAGGCAUCCUGGCAACAGGAACACAGAGCCUUCUCUGGGCACAUGUUCCAUAAGUCACCAUUGAGAAAUAUUUACCCAUCCUCUGAUCCCGGAUUUCUGCACUCCCCUCUGUUGGUGCAGUGUUCCAGUUGCAGGACCAGGGCCAACAUCCUAUUAAAUGUGGAGUGGAAGUGCAACUAUGUAAGUGCCCCCCUGGUCACUGAUCUCUGAAGCACUGCAAGAACAGGCACACAUAGGGGAAACUGAAGGAGGAGGAGAACAUGUGUUCAAUUGUCUUUCCAAUUUGGUUUCAGAAAAUAGGAUACUGGCAAGUAUAUUUUAACUACCUCAUCCAAGAACAGUGAAUACGUGCAAAAGUUAACAUGUAUUAUUUACUAUUUGCAUCUAGGGGGAGUAACCUUGUUCAGUUUGUAGGCUGAAUUAAAUUUCAAAGAAGUUUUCAGGGGCCAAAUUCCAGUGGUAGGUGGGGCUAAAAGAACCGUGUGGAGAAUGGGGAAUUCAGAUUUAAAAUUUAAGCUUCAAGUUCUUUUUAUUAGUAAUUAACAAUAACUACAUAAUAUCUGAUCAAUUCUGACAUAUAGUGACCCUUUCUAGGGUUUUCUAGGGAGAGAGUACUCAGAAGAGGUUUACCAUUCCCUUC